AACGCGUGGAGAACCUGCCGUAUACUGGGGGAUAACACUUAGAAAUAGGUGCUAAUACCGCUCAAGCGCACAGCUUCGCAUGAAGCAGUGUGGAAAACUCCGGUGGUAUACGAUGGAUCUGCGUCUGAUUAGCUUGUUGGCGGGGUAAAGGCCCACCAAGGCGACGAUCAGUAGCCGGCCUGAGAGGGUGAACGGCCACAUUGGGACUGAGACACGGCCCAAACUCCUACGGGAGGCAGCAGUGGGGAAUAUUGCACAAUGGGGGAAACCCUGAUGCAGCGACGCCGCGUGAGUGAAGAAGUAUUUCGGUAUGUAAAGCUCUAUCAGCAGGGAAGAAAUAAAGUCCUUUGGACUUUGGACGGUACCUGACUAAGAAGCCCCGGCUAACUACGUGCCAGCAGCCGCGGUAAUACGUAGGGGGCAAGCGUUAUCCGGAUUUACUGGGUGUAAAGAGAGCGUAGACGGCAGCGCAAGUCUGGAGUGAAAUCCCAUGGCUUAACCAUGGAACUGCUUUGGAAACUGUGCAGCUAGAGU
RNAcentral lists this ribosomal RNA (534 nucleotides) under uncultured bacterium. RNAcentral's name for it is "bacterial SSU rRNA". It matches the Rfam family "Bacterial small subunit ribosomal RNA", at positions 112 to 647 of the family's 1533-position model. The record is from RNAcentral.